CCUACGGGGGGCAGCAGUGAGGAAUAUUGGUCAAUGGACGAGAGUCUGAACCAGCCAAGUAGCGUGAAGGAUGACUGCCCUAUGGGUUGUAAACUUCUUUUAUAUGGGAAUAAAACAGGGUAUGCAUACCCUCUUGUAUGUACCAUAUGAAUAAGUAUCGGCUAACUCCGUGCCAGCAGCCGCGGUAAUACGGAGGAUCCGAGCGUUAUCCGGAUUUAUUGGGUUUAAAGGGAGCGUAGGUGGAUUGUUAAGUCAGUUGUGAAAGUGUGCGGCUCAACCGUAAGAUUGCAGUUGAAACUGGCAGUCUUGAGUAGAGUAGAGUUGGGCGGAAUGCGUGGGUGAGCGGUGAAAUGCUUAG
Molecule: ribosomal RNA, 358 nt
Filed under: uncultured bacterium
Lineage: Bacteria
Description: partial 16S ribosomal RNA
Rfam family: Bacterial small subunit ribosomal RNA
Source: RNAcentral